RNAcentral lists this ribosomal RNA (806 nucleotides) under Bacillus subtilis. RNAcentral's name for it is "bacterial SSU rRNA". It matches the Rfam family "Bacterial small subunit ribosomal RNA", at positions 10 to 797 of the family's 1533-position model. The record is from RNAcentral. Lineage: Bacteria; Bacillati; Bacillota; Bacilli; Caryophanales; Bacillaceae.
AGUUUGAUUCAUGGCUCAGGACGAACGCUGGCGGCGUGCCUAAUACAUGCAAGUCGAGCGGACAGAUGGGAGCUUGCUCCCUGAUGUUAGCGGCGGACGGGUGAGUAACACGUGGGUAACCUGCCUGUAAGACUGGGAUAACUCCGGGAAACCGGGGCUAAUACCGGAUGGUUGUUUGAACCGCAUGGUUCAAACAUAAAAGGUGGCUUCGGCUACCACUUACAGAUGGACCCGCGGCGCAUUAGCUAGUUGGUGAGGUAACGGCUCACCAAGGCAACGAUGCGUAGCCGACCUGAGAGGGUGAUCGGCCACACUGGGACUGAGACACGGCCCAGACUCCUACGGGAGGCAGCAGUAGGGAAUCUUCCGCAAUGGACGAAAGUCUGACGGAGCAACGCCGCGUGAGUGAUGAAGGUUUUCGGAUCGUAAAGCUCUGUUGUUAGGGAAGAACAAGUACCGUUCGAAUAGGGCGGUACCUUGACGGUACCUAACCAGAAAGCCACGGCUAACUACGUGCCAGCAGCCGCGGUAAUACGUAGGUGGCAAGCGUUGUCCGGAAUUAUUGGGCGUAAAGGGCUCGCAGGCGGUUUCUUAAGUCUGAUGUGAAAGCCCCCGGCUCAACCGGGGAGGGUCAUUGGAAACUGGGGAACUUGAGUGCAGAAGAGGAGAGUGGAAUUCCACGUGUAGCGGUGAAAUGCGUAGAGAUGUGGAGGAACACCAGUGGCGAAGGCGACUCUCUGGUCUGUAACUGACGCUNNGAGCGAAAGCGUGGGGAGCGAACAGGAUUAGAUACCCUGGGUAGUCCA